CCUACGGGGUGCUGCAGUGGGGAAUAUUGGACAAUGGGCGAAAGCCUGAUCCAGCCAUGCCGCGUGUGUGAAGAAGGCCUUCGGGUUGUAAAGCACUUUCAGUGGGGAAGAAAGCCUUGGGGCUAAUACCCUCGAGGAAGGACAUCACCCACAGAAGAAGCACCGGCUAACUCCGUGCCAGCAGCCGCGGUAAUACGGAGGGUGCGAGCGUUAAUCGGAAUUACUGGGCGUAAAGCGCGCGUAGGCGGUCUGAUAAGCCGGUUGUGAAAGCCCCGGGCUCAACCUGGGAACGGCAUCCGGAACUGUCAGGCUAGAGUGCAGGAGAGGAAGGUAGAAUUCCCGGUGUAGCGGUGAAAUGCGUAGAGAUCGGGAGGAAUACCAGUGGCGAAGGCGGCCUUCUGGACUGACACUGACGCUGAGGUGCGAAAGCGUGGGUAGCAAACAGGAUUAGAUACCCGGGUAGUC
This 465-nucleotide ribosomal RNA is filed under the name Vreelandella stevensii. RNAcentral describes it as "partial 16S ribosomal RNA". It matches the Rfam family "Bacterial small subunit ribosomal RNA", at positions 338 to 795 of the family's 1533-position model. The record is from RNAcentral. Lineage: Bacteria; Pseudomonadati; Pseudomonadota; Gammaproteobacteria; Oceanospirillales; Halomonadaceae.